CCGGGCGGAUGUUCUCAUUGGAUAAUUAAGUAAAGGUCGGCCAUCUUGUGGUGCAUUUACAUGAGGUGUUUUGUUAGGCACCACGUGGACGUUCCUGUGCUGAAAACCAUCGGUUGGGUUUAAAUGCAGAGCCUUGAAUUUUCCAAGGAAAGGUUUAUGGCAGCCUGAAAUACCAAGCUGAGUCAAAGAAGGAGAGAGGAAGUGAUCUCUGAAAUAAACUGACAAGCAGAGAUAACCAAACACAUCCAAAAAAGGGGACUGAGAUGGAUCUGAGAGGCCCAUGUCAUUCUUGGCAAAGAUCCGGAAGUGGUACUGAACCCCAGAGCGGAUGUUGUUGACCGUGUGCGUGUUGGCGAAGAGGCGG
Molecule: long non-coding RNA, 364 nt
Organism: Pungitius pungitius (ninespine stickleback)
Lineage: Eukaryota; Metazoa; Chordata; Actinopteri; Perciformes; Gasterosteidae
Exons: 3
Source: RefSeq, a predicted model, not a curated record